This 512-nucleotide ribosomal RNA is filed under the name uncultured bacterium. Its description in RNAcentral is "bacterial SSU rRNA". It matches the Rfam family "Bacterial small subunit ribosomal RNA", at positions 17 to 518 of the family's 1533-position model. The record is from RNAcentral.
UUCUGGCUCAGGAUGAACGCUAGCUACAGGCUUAACACAUGCAAGUCGAGGGGCAGCAUUGGGAUAGCUUGCUAUUCAGAUGGCGACCGGCGCACGGGUGAGUAACGCGUAUCCAACCUUCUCGCCAGGUAGGGAACAGCCCGGCGAAAGUCGGAUUAAUGCCCUAUGUUCUUCAAUGCGGACAUCUAAGUUGAAGGAAAGAUUCAUCGCUGGCAGAUGGGGAUGCGUCCGAUUAGCUUGCCGGCGGGGUAACGGCCCACCGGGGCGACGAUCGGUAGGGGUUCUGAGAGGAAGGUCCCCCACACUGGUACUGAGACACGGACCAGACUCCUACGGGAGGCAGCAGUGAGGAAUAUUGGUCAAUGGGCGUAAGCCUGAACCAGCCAAGUAGCGUGCAGGAUGACGGCCCUACGGGUUGUAAACUGCUUUUAUGCGGGGAUAAAGUGCGGCACGUGUGCCGCUUUGCAGGUACCGCAUGAAUAAGGACCGGCUAAUUCCGUGCCAGCAGCUGC